GGCGUGCAUAACACAUGCAAGUCGAGCGGAAAGGCCCUUCGGGGUACUCGAGCGGCGAACGGGUGAGUAACACGUGAGUAACCUGCCCUGGACUUUGGGAUAACCCUCGGAAACGGGGGCUAAUACCGGAUACGACAUUCCACCGCAUGGUGUGUUUGUGGAAAGUUUCGGUCUGGGAUGGGCUCGCGGCCUAUCAGCUUGAUGGUGGGGUGAUGGCCUACCAAGGCGACGACGGGUAGCCGGCCUGAGAGGGCGACCGGCCACACUGGGACUGAGACACGGCCCAGACUCCUACGGGAGGCAGCAGUGGGGAAUAUUGCACAAUGGGCGGAAGCCUGAUGCAGCGACGCCGCGUGAGGGAUGACGGCCUUCGGGUUGUAAACCUCUAUCAGCAGGGACGAAGGGCAAGUGACGGUACCUGCAGAAGAAGCGCCGGCCAACUACGUGCCAGCAGCCGCGGUAAGACGUAGGGCGCGAGCGUUGUCCGGAUUUAUUGGGCGUAAAGAGCUCGUAGGCGGCUUGUCGCGUCGACUGUGAAAACCCGCGGCUCAACCGCGGGCCUGCAGCCGAUACGGGCAGGCUAGAGUUCGGUAGGGGAGACUGGAAUUCCUGGUGUAGCGGUGAUAUGCGCAGAUAUCAGGAGGAACACCGAUGGCGAAGGCAGGUCUCUGGGCCGAUACUGACGCUGAGGAGCGAAAGCGUGGGGAGCGAACAGGAUUAGAUACCCUGGUAGUCCACGCUGUAAACGUUGGGCGCUAGGUGUGGGGGACCUCUCCCGUUCUCUGUGCCGCAGCUAACGCAUUAAGCGCCGCGCCUGGGGAGUACGGCCGCAAGGCUA
This 838-nucleotide ribosomal RNA is filed under the name uncultured bacterium. RNAcentral describes it as "bacterial SSU rRNA". It matches the Rfam family "Bacterial small subunit ribosomal RNA", at positions 41 to 896 of the family's 1533-position model. The record is from RNAcentral.